RNAcentral lists this ribosomal RNA (502 nucleotides) under uncultured bacterium. RNAcentral describes it as "partial 16S ribosomal RNA". It matches the Rfam family "Bacterial small subunit ribosomal RNA", at positions 30 to 523 of the family's 1533-position model. The record is from RNAcentral.
AUUGAACGCUGGCGGCGUGCCUAACACAUGCAAGUCGAGCGGUAACAGGUGUAGCAAUACAUGCUGACGAGCGGCGAACGGGUGAGUAAUGCUUCGGAAUCUACCUUAUGGUGGGGAAUAACUAGCCGAAAGGUUAGCUAAUACCGCAUACGUCCUACGGGAGAAAGCAGGGGAUCGCAAGACCUUGCGCCAAAAGAUGAGCCGAAGUCGGAUUAGCUAGGUGGUAGGGUAACGGCCUACCAAGGCGACGGUCCGUAACUGGUCUGACAGGACGACCAGACAAACUGGGACAGGGACAGGGCUGAGACUCCUACGGGAGGCAGCAGUGAGGAAUAUUGGACACGGGGGGAAACCCUGAUCCAGCGACGCCGCGUGUGUGAAGAAGGCCUGCGGGCUGUAAAGCGCUUUUAGUGGGGAUGAAAUGUGCAGGGUUAAUACCUCUGCAUUUUGACCUAACCCACAGAAAAAGCACCGGCUAACUCUGUGCCAGCCGCCGCAGUAA